Molecule: ribosomal RNA, 633 nt
Filed under: Triticum aestivum (bread wheat)
Lineage: Eukaryota; Viridiplantae; Streptophyta; Magnoliopsida; Poales; Poaceae
Description: partial small subunit ribosomal RNA
Source: RNAcentral
AUGUGUAGUGAGCAGAAAAAAGGACAGGAAGAGGGGCCAUGCGCAUGCAAAGGGUGUGGAUCCACGGCAAUGCUACACUACACGUACAAACAGUUUACAGGCUUAUUCGUUUUCUUAACACACAUGUCAACAUACAAGUGCAGAUGCAUGGCAAUUAUAUUACACGUCUUUGUUGCGUCUCAGAUGGUCCUCGAGCUCGUGGAUGUACUGUUCCUGACGCCCCUCGUCCACGACAAGCUCCUUCAGCUUCUUGGCGUUGGUUGCAAACAGCUUUCCUUCAUCCUCCACCAUGACACGUCGCACGGCCACUGCGAGGCCGUCCCUCUCGAACGAGCCAUCGCUGUCGUCCCUCGCCACCUCCACACCUAUCCCUCUCUUCGCCAUCGCCCGUGCAAUCAUGGGCGUGUCAAUAAUGAAUGGGAGCAUCACCAACGGGAGCCCGAAGGCGAAGCUCUCAAUGGUGGAGCCCCACCCGCAGUGCGUCAGGAAUGCACCCGUGGCGCCGUGCGCGAGCGCCUUCACCUGCGGCACCCACCCUGUGCAGACCAGCCCGCGCAGCCGGGUUCGCUCCUCGAACCCGGCUGGCAACAGCUCGUCGUCGUUGCCGGUGCCGGUGCCGGCCGGCUUCCGUAG